UGGGGAAUAUUGCACAAUGGGCGCAAGCCUGAUGCAGCCAUGCCGCGUGUGUGAAGAAGGCCUUCGGGUUGUAAAGCACUUUUGUCCGGAAAGAAAUCCUUGGCUCUAAUACAGUCGGGGAUGACGGUACCGGAAGAAUAAGCACCGGCUAACUACGUGCCAGCAGCCGCGGUAAUACGUAGGGUGCAAGCGUUAAUCGGAAUUACUGGGCGUAAAGCGUGCGCAGGCGGUUUGCUAAGACCGAUGUGAAAUCCCCGGGCUCAACCUGGGAACUGCAUUGGUGACUGGCAGGCUAGAGUAUGGCAGAGGGGGGUAGAAUUCCACGUGUAGCAGUGAAAUGCGUAGAGAUGUGGAGGAAUACCGAUGGCGAAGGCAGCCCCCUGGGCCAAUACUGACGCUCAUGCACGAAAGCGUGGGGAGCAAACAGGAUUAGAUACCCUGGUAGUCCACGCCCUAAACGAUGUCAACUAGUUGUUGGGGAUUCAUUUCCUUAGUAACGUAGCUAACGCGUGAAGUUGACCGCCUGGGGAGUACGGUCGCAAGAUUAAAA
Molecule: ribosomal RNA, 550 nt
Filed under: uncultured bacterium
Lineage: Bacteria
Description: partial 16S ribosomal RNA
Rfam family: Bacterial small subunit ribosomal RNA
Source: RNAcentral